Molecule: ribosomal RNA, 994 nt
Filed under: Enterococcus sp.
Lineage: Bacteria; Bacillati; Bacillota; Bacilli; Lactobacillales; Enterococcaceae
Description: bacterial SSU rRNA
Rfam family: Bacterial small subunit ribosomal RNA
Source: RNAcentral
CGCUUCUUUUUCCACCGGAGCUUGCUCCACCGGAAAAAGAGGAGUGGCGAACGGGUGAGUAACACGUGGGUAACCUGCCCAUCAGAAGGGGAUAACACUUGGAAACAGGUGCUAAUACCGUAUAACAAUCGAAACCGCAUGGUUUUGAUUUGAAAGGCGCUUUCGGGUGUCGCUGAUGGAUGGACCCGCGGUGCAUUAGCUAGUUGGUGAGGUAACGGCUCACCAAGGCGACGAUGCAUAGCCGACCUGAGAGGGUGAUCGGCCACAUUGGGACUGAGACACGGCCCAAACUCCUACGGGAGGCAGCAGUAGGGAAUCUUCGGCAAUGGACGAAAGUCUGACCGAGCAACGCCGCGUGAGUGAAGAAGGUUUUCGGAUCGUAAAACUCUGUUGUUAGAGAAGAACAAGGAUGAGAGUAACUGUUCAUCCCUUGACGGUAUCUAACCAGAAAGCCACGGCUAACUACGUGCCAGCAGCCGCGGUAAUACGUAGGUGGCAAGCGUUGUCCGGAUUUAUUGGGCGUAAAGCGAGCGCAGGCGGUUUCUUAAGUCUGAUGUGAAAGCCCCCGGCUCAACCGGGGAGGGUCAUUGGAAACUGGGAGACUUGAGUGCAGAAGAGGAGAGUGGAAUUCCAUGUGUAGCGGUGAAAUGCGUAGAUAUAUGGAGGAACACCAGUGGCGAAGGCGGCUCUCUGGUCUGUAACUGACGCUGAGGCUCGAAAGCGUGGGGAGCAAACAGGAUUAGAUACCCUGGUAGUCCACGCCGUAAACGAUGAGUGCUAAGUGUUGGAGGGUUUCCGCCCUUCAGUGCUGCAGCUAACGCAUUAAGCACUCCGCCUGGGGAGUACGACCGCAAGGUUGAAACUCAAGGAAUUGACGGGGGCCCGCACAAGCGGUGGAGCAUGUGGUUUAUUCGAAGCAACGCGAAGAACCUUACCAGGUCUUGACAUCCUUUGACCACUCUAGAGAUAGAGCUUCCCCUUCGGGGGCAAAGUG